UACGUAGGUGCCCAGCGUUGUCCGGAUUUAUUGGGCGUAAAGAGCGCGCAGGCGGUCGUUCAAGUCGAGUGUGAAAGCCCCCGGCUCAACUGGGGAGGGUCACUCGAUACUGAUCGACUUGAAGGCAGGAGAGGGAAGCGGAAUUCCCGGUGUAGUGGUGAAAUGCGUAGAUAUCGGGAGGAACAUCAGUGGCGAAAGCGGCUUCCUGGACCAGCACCGACGCUCAGGCACGAAAGCGUGGGGAGCAAACAGG
Molecule: ribosomal RNA, 253 nt
Filed under: uncultured bacterium
Lineage: Bacteria
Description: partial 16S ribosomal RNA
Rfam family: Bacterial small subunit ribosomal RNA
Source: RNAcentral